UACAGAGGGUCCAAGCGUUGAUCGGAAUCACUGGGCUUAAAGGGUGCGCAGGCGGAAAGACAAGUGCGUUGUGAAAUCCCAUGGCUCAACCAUGGAACUGCUUCGCAGACUGUCUUUCUUGAGCAUGACAGAGGUCGUCGGAACUCUAGGUGGAGCGGUGGAAUGCGUAGAUAUCUAGAGGAACGCCAAACGGGAAGCCA
This 200-nucleotide ribosomal RNA is filed under the name uncultured bacterium. RNAcentral describes it as "partial 16S ribosomal RNA". It matches the Rfam family "Bacterial small subunit ribosomal RNA", at positions 524 to 723 of the family's 1533-position model. The record is from RNAcentral.